Vidua chalybeata is the source of this 1100-nucleotide long non-coding RNA. RefSeq lists it as uncharacterized. NCBI's taxonomy places the organism in Eukaryota, Metazoa, Chordata, Aves, Passeriformes, Viduidae. The record is from RefSeq and is a predicted model, not a curated record. The transcript is spliced from 3 exons.
GGACAGCUUAUCUCAGGCUCAGGCCUGCCAUCUCCCUCAGAAGAGCCACAGCUGUGCAGGAGCCAUGAGUCAUUGGAGAAGGCUCCCCUCCCAGCGGCACCCAGAGCAAGGGACACCCACGACACACCAGCUCUGCCUUGCAGAGCCACUUGCUGAGCUACAUCCUAUGUGAACAUGCAAGACAAGUCCUUAUGGGCACACACAAAGAUUAAGGCCUGUGAACACUUCAGCCUACAAAUAUAACAAUGUCUCUUCAAUACACACCUUUCCCUGCCUAUUCAACAGUACAAGACACACAGCACUAGCACUACUGCUCCAGACAAAGCUCCAGGCAACCACCAACAUUUCCUGCUGCACGCCCUCCAAGCCGGCUCAGUCAAGGGACCAGUCAACCAAUCUGUCUGGCCCGACCUGUCAUUUCUAUAGCUAAUGGAAUUGGAGAGGAAGUAGCAACCACAUGGAUUUUCCACCAGAGUCCAGCGUUUUGAGAGCCUUAAUGCAAGUUUCCAGCACAUGUAACAUCACAAAGGACAGCCCCAGAGGACAUAGCAUCUGGAAGAUUUGUUUCAAAAAUUCUUCAAGAGACCCAGUCUUUCUCCACUCCCACUUUUCAGAGGAUCUCCAAGACACCGCAGACUGUAGGAUAAAUCAAUCAAAUGCUUCCUCAGCCACCUGGAGAGGCACAGCAAUGCUGACAGCCAGCCGGCAGGCAAACACACGCUUAUAGGAGGAAUGUAAAACAACUUGCAAACCUCAGGUAUAAUGAUCUGACAGGACACAGCAAUUAAAAUUGCAGGAUGUGACACUGCUCAUACCUGAGGACUGAGGGAUUCACCCACAGCCUAUGAGGCACUGUCACAGCAAAAACAGCCUUGUACACAAACACACAAAGCACAGCUGGGAAACAGAGAAAGCACAAAGCUGAACCCAUACUUUUAAUGAAGACCCAGCAGAACAAAUUUCACCAAGCUGUUAUAGUUUUAACCCGCAAGGCCUCCAACGGUAAACACGCCAACAACCAAGCAACCCACCAAAAAACACCCUAGAAAAACAAAUCAACCAAUAAAAUAAAAACAACCCAAAAAACCCACAUGGAAACA